Non-coding RNA from Cricetulus griseus (Chinese hamster), 2250 nucleotides. NCBI's taxonomy places the organism in Eukaryota, Metazoa, Chordata, Mammalia, Rodentia, Cricetidae. The record is from RefSeq and is a predicted model, not a curated record.
UAAAAUCCCCUUUUAAAACAAAAUGGCUGGCUUAAUAUUUCAUUUUUCAUACACCCCCCUUCUCUCUGUUACAUCUCAUCUCCAAGCUUCUACUCAGAAACCCACUAAUUUCUCCCUUUUUUCAUAACUGAUUAGUGCACAGAUUAAUACAUUUUCCUUGUGUAUUGAGAGAGAGGGAGUGUGUGUGUGUGUGUGUGUGUGUGUGUGUGUGUUGGGGGGCAUGAAGGAUUUCUGCAUAAAACAAAAAUGGCUGCUGUGACUUAACUCCCCCCUUAUAAAAAUAUUUGGGGGGGGGCAUUAAUCAGUACUCAUGCUCAGUCUGACAUCAGCAUAAAUUGUUAAAGGUUAACUAGUUAGAUACUAGUCCAACUAGAUUGAAUUUUUCUUUUCUUUACUAGUCUUGUUCCUCCCCCCACCUCCCUUCUCUAAAGAAAAGCCUUUUUUUUUUUUUUUCUGAAUACUUCAGAAGGGAGUGGUUUGAUGUGAAGGUUUUUUUUUUUUCUUUCCCUUCAGGCAUUGAAAAGGAAAAAGAUGAAAUAUAUGUUUAUAUAUAACUCUCUACAUACCUCAUUGAAGUCAAAAUGCAUUUAAUUGUUGUACGUGUCUUCCUCCACCAUCCUCAUCACUGAUAAAGUGGAAGAAACUGAGGCACUGGGAGAAAGUAGCCGGGAAAAGCAAUGAGAUGUUCCUGGAUGCUAGAUAUUGCCAAAUCUCGGGAAUUUCCAAGAGACACAUUUGUUACAGAAGAAUGACUAGCAUAAAGAACUACAAAGAAACUGGAGAUGGCCGAAUGUUUUCAAGGACCUUCAGGAUGAUGGGCGUCUGUCUCUCCAUAACUUAUUUGACCUCAGCUGCAUAUAAGGAGCUAUAUGCAGCUAGUCCAGGCCAUGCUAGGGUUAUGCCUGUAGCCCUGGCUGUCACUGUCUGUUGUCCCUCCCUUGUGGCUGAAGAAAUGGCUUUUAAGGAGAGUAUUGUGUACAUAGUUAUUAAGCAAAAGCAUUUCUCCCGGGUUGGAGAAAUGGCUCAGCCCUUAAAAGCGCUGACUGCUCUUUCAGAGGUCCUGAGUUCAAUUCCCAGCAACCACAUGGUGUCUCACAACCAUCUAUAGUGAAACCUGGUGCCCUCUUCUGGCCAGCAGGCAUACAUGCAGGCAGAAGACUAUACAAAAAUAAAUAAAUAAAUAAAUAAGCAUUCCUCCCUUCUAAGAAGUAGCUGGAUGUUUUCUAACACCCUGUGCUUUCCCAUGCAGCUGCAGUCUGGCUUCUGUAACAGACACUAUCCAGGUGCUGCUUGCUAAAUCCACAGAUACCUCAGUCAUCUUAUCACUGGACCUCUGCCCAACCUUUGACACUCCUGCCUCAAGUGCACUCCAGCGUCCAUGGUACCCUCCACCCAGCUCUUUCUCCUCCCUGGCUCUGCUCUGUGAGUGUCCUUUUCAUCCUCCUGGCUUAGGCACUGAUCCUGCCAGGAUCUCUGCUCAGAUCUCUUUACUCACCAGGUGACUCAUCCUGUAGCUUGGCUACAGCUACUGCUGGCCAGGAAUUCCUGGCUGAACUGACCCAGAGCUCCAGUCCCAAAUAUUUUCAUGUCACAAAGUUACCACAGACAGUUAACUAACCCUCCUCUUCCAGCCCUCCUCCUCUUGCCACUGGAUUCACCAUCGUCCCGGCCUCUCAGGCCACACAGACCCUUGUGUGUCAUUCAUGGCUCUUCCUUACCUCUGACAUCUACCAGGUAAAUUGCUCUAACUUUAGUCCUCCUCUGGUCUCCACAGUCCUGGUGCUGGCUGCCCUCAUUUCUUUCCAAGUUGUUUAGGCUGGCAGUCUCUCCCACUGUCCCCUACUCUAUUCUAUUCUCUAUUGACAUUGUAGCCAUUUACAAAUGCUUAUCUGACUGUAUUUGGUGUUGCAAACCUUUAACCCCAGCAUUGGUAAGGCAAUCAGUCCAGUCUCUGAGUUUGAGGCCAGCCUAGUCUACAUCAGAAUUCCAGGCUAUAUAGUGAGAUUAUCUCAAAACCAAACAAACAACCCCCCUCAAAUAAAUGUGGGGCCUGCAGAUGGCUUAGCAGGUAAUGUAAAAAAUAAUUGUAAUGAAAAUCUAAAAAUGUCCUUCCCCUUAUAAAGCUCUUAACUCUGAAUUGUAUACUUUAAAGGGAUAAAUUUUGUUAUUUAUAUAUUUCAUGUCAGUUGUUUAUAAAAAGCAAAAUAGAACUGGGCGUUGGUGGCGCACGCCUUUCAUCCUAGCACUUGG